UUAAGUUAAUAAGGGCGCACGGUGGAUGCCUUGGCACUAGGAGCCGACGAAGGACGUGACAAACGACGAUAUGCCUUGGGUAGCUGUAAGUAAGCGAUGAUCCAGGGAUUUCCGAAUGGGGGAACCCAACAGGUAAUACCUGUUACCUACAUCUGUUAAGGAUGUGAGGAGGAAGACGCAGUGAACUGAAACAUCUAAGUAGCUGCAGGAAGAGAAAGCAAAAGCGAUUGCCUUAGUAGCGGCGAGCGAAACGGCAGAAGGGCAAACCGAAGAGUUUACUCUUCGGGGUUGUAGGACUGCAAUGUGGACUCAAAGAUUAUAGAAGAAUGAUUUGGGAAGAUCAGCCAAAGAGAGUAAUAGCCUCGUAUUUAAAAUAGUCUUUGUACUUAGCAGUAUCCUGAGUACGGCGGGACACGUGAAAUCCCGUCGGAAUCUGGGAGGACCAUCUCCCAACCCUAAAUACUCCCUAGUGACCGAUAGUGAACCAGUACCGUGAGGGAAAGGUGAAAAGCACCCCGGGAGGGGAGUGAAAUAGAACCUGAAACCGUGUGCCUACAACAAGUUCGAGCCCGUUAAUGGGUGAGAGCGUGCCUUUUGUAGAAUGAACCGGCGAGUUACGUUAUGAUGCGAGGUUAAGUUGAAGAGACGGAGCCGUAGGGAAACCGAGUCUGAAUAGGGCGCCUUAGUAUCAUGACGUAGACCCGAAACCAUGUGACCUACCCAUGAGCAGGUUGAAGGUGCGGUAAGACGCACUGGAGGACCGAACCAGGGCACGUUGAAAAGUGCUUGGAUGACUUGUGGGUAGCGGAGAAAUUCCAAACGAACUUGGAGAUAGCUGGUUCUCUCCGAAAUAGCUUUAGGGCUAGCGUCGACAUUAGAGAUUCUUGGAGGUAGAGCACUGUUUGGGUGAGGGGUUCAUCCCGGAUUACCAAUCUCAGAUAAACUCCGAAUGCCAAUGAAUUAUGGUCGGCAGUCAGACUGCGAGUGCUAAGAUCCGUAGUCGAAAGGGAAACAGCCCAGACCACCAGCUAAGGUCCCAAAAUAAUUGUUAAGUGGAAAAGGAUGUGGGGUUGCACAGACAACUAGGAUGUUAGCUUAGAAGCAGCUAUUCAUUCAAAGAGUGCGUAAUAGCUCACUAGUCGAGUGACCCUGCGCCGAAAAUGUACCGGGGCUAAAACAAUUUACCGAAGCUGUGGAUACCUUUAUAGGUAUGGUAGGAGAGCGUUCUAUGUGUGAUGAAGGUAUACCGUGAGGAGUGCUGGAACGCAUAGAAGUGAGAAUGCCGGUAUGAGUAGCGAAAGACAGGUGAGAAUCCUGUCCACCGUAAGACUAAGGUUUCCAGGGGAAGGCUCGUCCGCCCUGGGUUAGUCGGGACCUAAGGAGAGACCGAAAGGUGUAUCCGAUGGACAACAGGUUGAUAUUCCUGUACUAGAGUAUGUAGUGAUGGAGGGACGCAGUAGGCUAACUAAAGCAGACGAUUGGAAGAGUCUGUCUAAGCAGUGAGGUGUGAAUUGAGUCAAAUGCUUAAUUCUAUAACAUUGAGCUGUGAUGGGGAGCGAAGUUUAGUAGCGAAGUUAGUGACGUCACACUGCCAAGAAAAGCUUCUAGCGUUUAAACAUACUCUACCCGUACCGCAAACCGACACAGGUAGUCGAGGCGAGUAGCCUCAGGUGAGCGAGAGAACUCUCGUUAAGGAACUCGGCAAAAUGACCCCGUAACUUCGGGAGAAGGGGUGCUGACUUAAAGUCAGCCGCAGUGAAUAGGCCCAAGCAACUGUUUAUCAAAAACACAGCUCUCUGCUAAAUCGUAAGAUGAUGUAUAGGGGGUGACGCCUGCCCGGUGCUGGAAGGUUAAGAGGAGUGCUUAGCGUAAGCGAAGGUAUGAAUUGAAGCCCCAGUAAACGGCGGCCGUAACUAUAACGGUCCUAAGGUAGCGAAAUUCCUUGUCGGGUAAGUUCCGACCCGCACGAAAGGCGUAAUGAUUUGGGCACUGUCUCAACGAGAGACUCGGUGAAAUUUUAGUACCUGUGAAGAUGCAGGUUACCCGCGACAGGACGGAAAGACCCCAUGGAGCUUUACUGCAGUUUGAUAUUGAGUGUCUGUACCACAUGUACAGGAUAGGUAGGAGUCUAAGAGAUCGGGACGCCAGUUUCGAAGGAGACGCUGUUGGGAUACUACCCUUGUGUUAUGGCCACUCUAACCCAGAUAGGUGAUCCCUAUCGGAGACAGUGUCUGACGGGCAGUUUGACUGGGGCGGUCGCCUCCUAAAAGGUAACGGAGGCGCCCAAAGGUUCCCUCAGAAUGGUUGGAAAUCAUUCGCAGAGUGUAAAGGUAUAAGGGAGCUUGACUGCGAGAGCUACAACUCGAGCAGGGACGAAAGUCGGGCUUAGUGAUCCGGUGGUUCCGUAUGGAAGGGCCAUCGCUCAACGGAUAAAAGCUACCCUGGGGAUAACAGGCUUAUCUCCCCCAAGAGUUCACAUCGACGGGGAGGUUUGGCACCUCGAUGUCGGCUCGUCGCAUCCUGGGGCUGUAGUCGGUCCCAAGGGUUGGGCUGUUCGCCCAUUAAAGCGGCACGCGAGCUGGGUUCAGAACGUCGUGAGACAGUUCGGUCCCUAUCCGUCGCGGGCGUAGGAAAUUUGAGAGGAUCUGCUCCUAGUACGAGAGGACCAGAGUGGACUUACCGCUGGUGUACCAGUUGUCUUGCCAAAGGCAUCGCUGGGUAGCUAUGUAGGGAAGGGAUAAACGCUGAAAGCAUCUAAGUGUGAAACCCACCUCAAGAUGAGAUUUCCCAUGAUUAUAUAUCAGUAAGAGCCCUGAGAGAUGAUCAGGUAGAUAGGUUAGAAGUGGAAGUGUGGCGACACAUGUAGCGGACUAAUACUAAUAGCUCGAGGACUUAUCCAA
Molecule: ribosomal RNA, 2900 nt
Filed under: Streptococcus pneumoniae
Lineage: Bacteria; Bacillati; Bacillota; Bacilli; Lactobacillales; Streptococcaceae
Description: bacterial LSU rRNA
Rfam family: Bacterial large subunit ribosomal RNA
Source: RNAcentral